RNAcentral lists this ribosomal RNA (170 nucleotides) under Glossanodon kotakamaru. RNAcentral's name for it is "partial 12S rRNA". Lineage: Eukaryota; Metazoa; Chordata; Actinopteri; Argentiniformes; Argentinidae. The record is from RNAcentral.
CACCGCGGUUAUACGAGAGGCCCAAGUUGACAGUUACCGGCGUAAAGAGUGGUUAGGGUGUUCCUCAACUAAAGCCGAAUACCUCUUAGGCUGUUAUACGCACCUGGAGGCACGAAGCUCCCCCACGAAAGUGGCUUUAUCCCCCCCCCGAACCCACGACAGCUUUGCCA